This 451-nucleotide ribosomal RNA is filed under the name uncultured bacterium. Its description in RNAcentral is "SSU rRNA". It matches the Rfam family "Bacterial small subunit ribosomal RNA", at positions 26 to 518 of the family's 1533-position model. The record is from RNAcentral.
AGGAUGAACGCUGGCGGCGUGCCUAAAACAUGCAAGUCAUACGGGCUACCUUCGGGUAGCCAGUGGCAAACGGGUGAGUAACACGUGGGAACGCGCCUUGGGGUGGGGAAUAACGCUGAGAAAUCAGUGCUAAUACCGCAUAUGGUCUAACGACUAAAGCAGCAAUGCGCCCCGAGAGCGGCCCGCGACCGAUUAGCUAGUUGGUGGGGUAAUGGCCUACCAAGGCGGUGAUCGGUAGCUGGUCUGAGAGGAUGGUCAGCCACACUGGGACUGCGAACGGCCCAGACUCCUACGGGAGGCAGCAGUUAGGAAUUUUCGGCAAUGGACGAAAGUCUGACCGAGCGACGCCGCGUGGAGGAUGACGCCUUUCGGGGUGUAAACUCCUUUUCUGCGGGAAGAUAAUGACGGUACCGCAGGAAUAAGCACCGACUAACUACGUGCCAGCAGCCGC